This 483-nucleotide ribosomal RNA is filed under the name uncultured bacterium. Its description in RNAcentral is "partial 16S ribosomal RNA". It matches the Rfam family "Bacterial small subunit ribosomal RNA", at positions 29 to 523 of the family's 1533-position model. The record is from RNAcentral.
AAUGAACGUUGGCGGCAUGGAUUAGGCAUGCAAGUCGUGCGCGAUAUGUAGCAAUACAUGGAGAGCGGCGAAAGGGAGAGUAAUACGUAGGAACCUACCUUCGGGUCUGGGAUAGCGGCGGGAAACUGCCGGUAAUACCAGAUGAUGUUUCCGAACCAAAGGUGUGAUUCCGCCUGAAGAGGGGCCUACGUCGUAUUAGCUAGUUGGUAGGGUAAUGGCCUACCAAGGCAAAGAUGCGUAUGGGGUGCGAGAGCAUGCCCCCACCUCACUGGGACUGAGACACUGCCCAGACACCUACGGGUGGCUGCAGUCGAGAAUCUUCGGCAAUGGGCGAAAGCCUGACCGAGCGAUGCCGCGUGCGGGAUGAAGGCCUUCGGGUUGUAAACCGCUGUCGUAGGGGAUGAAGUGCUAGGGGGUUCUCCCUCUAGUUUGACUGAACCUAGGAGGAAGGGCCGGCUAAUCUCGUGCCAGCAGCCGCCGUAA